RNAcentral lists this ribosomal RNA (404 nucleotides) under alpha proteobacterium oral taxon F61. RNAcentral describes it as "bacterial SSU rRNA". It matches the Rfam family "Bacterial small subunit ribosomal RNA", at positions 30 to 462 of the family's 1533-position model. The record is from RNAcentral. Lineage: Bacteria; Pseudomonadati; Pseudomonadota; Alphaproteobacteria.
CGAACGCUGGCGGCAGGCUUAACACAUGCAAGUCGAACGCGCCCUUCGGGGCGAGUGGCAGACGGGUGAGUAACGCGUGGGAACCUACCUUUCGGUUCGGAAUAACCCAGGGAAACUUGGGCUAAUACCGGAUGCGCCCUUUGGGGGAAAGAUUUAUCGCCGAAAGAUGGGCCCGCGUCGGAUUAGCUAGUUGGUGGGGUAAUGGCCUACCAAGGCGACGAUCCGUAGCUGGUCUGAGAGGAUGAUCAGCCACACUGGGACUGAGACACGGCCCAGACUCCUACGGGAGGCAGCAGUGGGGAAUAUUGGACAAUGGGGGCAACCCUGAUCCAGCCAUGCCGCGUGAGUGAUGAAGGCCUUAGGGUUGUAAAGCUCUUUCACCGGUGAAGAUAAUGACGUAACCG